RNAcentral lists this ribosomal RNA (253 nucleotides) under uncultured bacterium. RNAcentral describes it as "partial 16S ribosomal RNA". It matches the Rfam family "Bacterial small subunit ribosomal RNA", at positions 524 to 776 of the family's 1533-position model. The record is from RNAcentral.
GACAGAGGGUGCAAGCGUUGUUCGGAAUCAUUGGGCGUAAAGGGCGCGUAGGCGGCAUUGUAAGUCUGAUGUGAAAUCCCAGGGCUCAACCCUGGAAGUGCAUCAGAUACUGCUUUGCUUGAGUUUCGGAGAGGGUGGUGGAAUUCCCAGUGUAGAGGUGAAAUUCGUAGAUAUUGGGAGGAACACCGGUGGCGAAGGCGACCACCUGGACGAAUACUGACGCUGAGGCGCGAAAGCGUGGGGAUCAAACAGG